RNAcentral lists this ribosomal RNA (444 nucleotides) under Pseudaspius hakonensis (big-scaled redfin). RNAcentral describes it as "partial 16S ribosomal RNA". Lineage: Eukaryota; Metazoa; Chordata; Actinopteri; Cypriniformes; Leuciscidae. The record is from RNAcentral.
AAAAGGGGUACAGCCCUUUUAACAAAGGAUACAACCUUCACAGGAGGAUAAAGAUCAUAAUAUAUAAGAUAUACUGUCCUAGUGGGCCUGAAAGCAGCCACCUAAGCAGAAAGCGUUAAAGCUCGGACAGAGAGAAGUUUAUUAUACUGAUAAGAAAUCUUAUUCCCCUAACUGUAUCAGGCCAACCCAUGCCCCCAUGGAAGAGAUUAUGCUAAAAUGAGUAAUAAGAAGACACGCUCUUCUCCCGGCACACGUGUAAACCAGAUCGGACUGACCACUGGAACUUAACGAACCCAACCCAAGAGGGUAGUGUGAUUAAUAUAAACCUCAAGAAGACCUCACACCAACUGAUCGUUAACCCCACACUGGAGUGCUAUUUCAAGGGAAAGACUAAAAGAGGAGGAAGGAACUCGGCAAACACAAGCCUCGCCUGUUUACCAAAAA